RNAcentral lists this transfer RNA (87 nucleotides) under Myxococcales bacterium. RNAcentral's name for it is "tRNA-Ser". It matches the Rfam family "tRNA". Rfam says of the family: Transfer RNA (tRNA) molecules are approximately 80 nucleotides in length. Lineage: Bacteria; Pseudomonadati; Myxococcota; Myxococcia; Myxococcales. The record is from RNAcentral.
GGAAGGUUGGCCGAGUGGGAAGGCACUCGCUUGGAAAGCGACGGUCUGGCCGAGAGGUCAGCGGGGGUUCGAUUCCCUCACCUUCCG